This 2072-nucleotide ribosomal RNA is filed under the name Salmonella enterica subsp. enterica serovar Enteritidis. Its description in RNAcentral is "partial 23S ribosomal RNA". It matches the Rfam family "Bacterial large subunit ribosomal RNA", at positions 711 to 2764 of the family's 2925-position model. The record is from RNAcentral. Lineage: Bacteria; Pseudomonadati; Pseudomonadota; Gammaproteobacteria; Enterobacterales; Enterobacteriaceae.
AGACCCGAAACCCGGUGAUCUAGCCAUGGGCAGGUUGAAGGUUGGGUAACACUAACUGGAGGACCGAACCGACUAAUGUUGAAAAAUUAGCGGAUGACCUGUGGCUGGGGGUGAAAGGCCAAUCAAACCGGGAGAUAGCUGGUUCUCCCCGAAAGCUAUUUAGGUAGCGCCUCGUGAAUUCAUCUCCGGGGGUAGAGCACUGUUUCGGCUAGGGGGCCAUCCCGGCUUACCAACCCGAUGCAAACUGCGAAUACCGGAGAAUGUUAUCACGGGAGACACACGGCGGGUGCUAACGUCCGUCGUGAAGAGGGAAACAACCCAGACCGCCAGCUAAGGUCCCAAAGUCAUGGUUAAGUGGGAAACGAUGUGGGAAGGCCCAGACAGCCAGGAUGUUGGCUUAGAAGCAGCCAUCAUUUAAAGAAAGCGUAAUAGCUCACUGGUCGAGUCGGCCUGCGCGGAAGAUGUAACGGGGCUAAACCAUGCACCGAAGCUGCGGCAGCGACACUGUGUGUUGUUGGGUAGGGGAGCGUUCUGUAAGCCUGUGAAGGUGUGUCGUGAGGCAUGCUGGAGGUAUCAGAAGUGCGAAUGCUGACAUAAGUAACGAUAAAGCGGGUGAAAAGCCCGCUCGCCGGAAGACCAAGGGUUCCUGUCCAACGUUAAUCGGGGCAGGGUGAGUCGACCCCUAAGGCGAGGCCGAAAGGCGUAGUCGAUGGGAAACGGGUUAAUAUUCCCGUACUUGGUGUUACUGCGAAGGGGGGACGGAGAAGGCUAUGUUGGCCGGGCGACGGUUGUCCCGGUUUAAGCGUGUAGGUGUGUGUUCCAGGUAAAUCCGGUUCACUUUAACACUGAGGCGUGACGACGAGGCACUACGGUGCUGAAGCAACAAAUGCCCUGCUUCCAGGAAAAGCCUCUAAGCAUCAGGUAACAUCAAAUCGUACCCCAAACCGACACAGGUGGUCAGGUAGAGAAUACCAAGGCGCUUGAGAGAACUCGGGUGAAGGAACUAGGCAAAAUGGUGCCGUAACUUCGGGAGAAGGCACGCUGACACGUAGGUGAAGUGAUUUACUCAUGGAGCUGAAGUCAGUCGAAGAUACCAGCUGGCUGCAACUGUUUAUUAAAAACACAGCACUGUGCAAACACGAAAGUGGACGUAUACGGUGUGACGCCUGCCCGGUGCCGGAAGGUUAAUUGAUGGGGUCAGCGCAAGCGAAGCUCCUGAUCGAAGCCCCGGUAAACGGCGGCCGUAACUAUAACGGUCCUAAGGUAGCGAAAUUCCUUGUCGGGUAAGUUCCGACCUGCACGAAUGGCGUAAUGAUGGCCAGGCUGUCUCCACCCGAGACUCAGUGAAAUUGAACUCGCUGUGAAGAUGCAGUGUACCCGCGGCAAGACGGAAAGACCCCGUGAACCUUUACUAUAGCUUGACACUGAACAUUGAGCCUUGAUGUGUAGGAUAGGUGGGAGGCUUUGAAGUGUGGACGCCAGUCUGCAUGGAGCCGACCUUGAAAUACCACCCUUUAAUGUUUGAUGUUCUAACGUGGACCCGUUACCCGGGUUGCGGACAGUGUCUGGUGGGUAGUUUGACUGGGGCGGUCUCCUCCUAAAGAGUAACGGAGGAGCACGAAGGUUGGCUAAUCCUGGUCGGACAUCAGGAGGUUAGUGCAAUGGCAUAAGCCAGCUUGACUGCGAGCGUGACGGCGCGAGCAGGUGCGAAAGCAGGUCAUAGUGAUCCGGUGGUUCUGAAUGGAAGGGCCAUCGCUCAACGGAUAAAAGGUACUCCGGGGAUAACAGGCUGAUACCGCCCAAGAGUUCAUAUCGACGGCGGUGUUUGGCACCUCGAUGUCGGCUCAUCACAUCCUGGGGCUGAAGUAGGUCCCAAGGGUAUGGCUGUUCGCCAUUUAAAGUGGUACGCGAGCUGGGUUUAGAACGUCGUGAGACAGUUCGGUCCCUAUCUGCCGUGGGCGCUGGAGAACUGAGGGGGGCUGCUCCUAGUACGAGAGGACCGGAGUGGACGCAUCACUGGUGUUCGGGUUGUCAUGCCAAUGGCACUGCCCGGUAGCUAAAUGCGGAAGAGA